AACGAACGCUGGCGGCAGGCUUAACACAUGCAAGUCGAACGCCCCGCAAGGGGAGUGGCCGACGGGUGAGUAACGCGUGGGAACAUACCCUUUUCUACGGAAUAGCUCUGGGAAACUGGAAUUAAUACCGUAUACGCCCUACGGGGGAAAGAUUUAUCGGGGAAGGAUUGGCCCGCGUUGGAUUAGCUAGUUGGUGGGGUAAAGGCCUACCAAGGCGACGAUCCAUAGCUGGUCUGAGAGGAUGAUCAGCCACAUUGGGACUGAGACACGGCCCAAACUCCUACGGGAGGCAGCAGUGGGGAAUAUUGGACAAUGGGCGCAAGCCUGAUCCAGCCAUGCCGCGUGAGUGAUGAAGGCCUUAGGGUUGUAAAGCUCUUUCACCGAUGAAGAUAAUGACGGUAGUCGGAGAAGAAGCCCCGGCUAACUUCGUG
RNAcentral lists this ribosomal RNA (431 nucleotides) under uncultured bacterium. RNAcentral describes it as "partial 16S ribosomal RNA". It matches the Rfam family "Bacterial small subunit ribosomal RNA", at positions 29 to 507 of the family's 1533-position model. The record is from RNAcentral.